Molecule: long non-coding RNA, 7410 nt
Filed under: Homo sapiens (human)
Lineage: Eukaryota; Metazoa; Chordata; Mammalia; Primates; Hominidae
Description: HSALNT0293113
Source: RNAcentral
CACUUUUAGGAGUAACAUGAUGUGAUUUCAUUUGUUAAUGAAUCUCAUUCUUACUAAUACAUGGAGAGUGGAUUGGAGGCCAGAGUGGAAGUAGAGACCAGUUGAAAAGGCAGUAAUAAUGUUUGGAGUUGGUCGGAGAAGACCCUUUCCCAUUCUCUUUUGCUCCAGACCUUCCCAAAACGCAACCACUCAAGUUUUACAGGGUAAUUUUGGAGAAUGUCCCAUGUAUCCAAGAAUGUGUUUUCUGCAGCUGCUGCAUAAAAUGUGUUGUAAGUAUUCUUGAGUCCAUUUUGUUCUAAAGUUCAGUUUAGAUCCAAAGUAUUUUGUUGAUAUUCUGCCUAGUUAACCUGUUUAUUGCUAAGAGCAGGGCAUUGAGGUCCCUAAUAUGACUGUGUAAAAGUAUAUAAAUCCCUUUUGAUCUAAUAAUAUUUGUUUUAUAUAUCUGGGUAAUCCAUUGUUGGAUGCAUACAUUUAGAAUUGUUAUAUUCUCCUGCUGAAUUUAUCCCUUUAUCAUUAUUUAAUGAAUUUAUUUGUCUCUUCUCACUCUUUUUGACUCAAAUCCUGUUUUAUGUGCUGCAACUCUAGCUACUUUUACUCACUUUUGGUUUCUAUUUCGUGGAAUAUUAUUUUCCAUUUCUUUAUUUUCAGUCUACUUGUGUCUUUUACAAGUGAAGUGAGUUUCUUAUAGCAUAUAUCUGGGUCUUCUUUUUUAAUCAUUUCAGCCAAUCUAUAUCUUCUAAUUGGUGAAUUUAAUCCAUUUAUACUGAAAGAUAUUAUUGAUGGGUGAGUACCUAUUCUUGUCAUUUUGUUAAUUGUUUCUAGUUGUUUUGCGUAUUCUUAGUUAAUUUAUUUAUCUCUUGUAUAUCAUUAGAGAUUGGUGGUUUUCUGUAGUAGUAACAUUUGAGUUCUUUCACUUUCUCAUUUCUGUGUCUUCUCCAUCAGUGUGUUUCAUGGUUAUGUUUACAUAAUGAUACAUUUUUUUCAUUCAUUACUAGAUGUAGGAGUCCCCUAAACAUUUAUUGUAGGGCUGAUCUAUUGGUGAUGCCUUCCUUCAUUUUUUUACUUACCUUUGAAAGACUUUAUUUCUUUUUCAUAUUUGAAGGAUAGCUUUGCUGGGUAAAGUAUUCUUGGCUGACACAGUUUAUGUUUCUUUCAGCAAUUUGAAUAUAUCACGACAUUCUCUCCUGUCCUGUAUACUUUCUGUUGAGAAAUCUGCUGUUAGUCUGAUGGAGCUUCCCUUGCAUGUGACCUGACACUUUUCUCUUGCUCUUAUUAGAAUUCUCCCUUUGUCUUUGACUUUUGACAAUUUGACUAUAAUAUACCUUAAAGAAGACCUUUUUGGGGUGAAUUUAUUUGGUGUUCUGUGAGCUUCCUGUAUCUGGAUUUCUGUAUUUACUCCAAUAUUGAAGACGUUUUCAGUUAUUAUUUUGUUUGAUUGAUUUUCUGUUCCUUUGCCAAUCUCUUUUCCUUCUCUGAUACCCCAAAUUUCAAUAUUUGGUCACCUUAUGUUGUCUCAUAUGUCACACAGGUUCUACUCUUUCUUUUUUAGCUUUUUGUUUGUUGAUUGGUUGGUUUUAUCUGACAAGGUUAUUUCAAAACACUUGUUUAAAGUUCAAAAAUUUUUUCUUCUGCUUAUUUAGUCUGUGAUUGAAGCCCUUGAUUGUAUUUUUUUCACUCAUUGAAUUUUUCAUUUCCAGGAUUUCUGUUUGGUUCUUUUUUAGAAUAUCCAUUUUGCUAGUGAAUUUCUUACUCAAAUCAUGAAUGGCUUUUCUCAUUUCUUUUAUAUUUUUCUAUGUUCUCUUAUAUUUCACUAUUCUUAAUAUUACUAAUUUGAAUUCCAUUUCAAACAUUUCACAGAUUUAUUUCCCAUUGGAAUCUGUUGCUGAAUAAUUAUUUUGUUCUCCUGAAGGUGUCAUAUUUCCUUGCUUUUUUAUGUUUGUUGUGUUUUUGAGAUAUCAGCACAUCUGGUUUAACAGUCAUUUCUUCCAGUUCUAUGGAUUGGCUUUCAUAGGGUAAGAUGUUUUCCUAUAGAUGUAUCUAUAUUAUUGUUUUGGUAGGGUGCUUUCACUUUGCUUCUCAGUGAAUGAGGUAGUGUUGUAUGCAUAUGCAUACAGUGUAGUGUAGCAGUGUUACAAUUUCUUCAGCUGUAAUCAGUGUUAGUGUUGUCUGUGAGUUCUUCAGUGGCUUAGGGUGUGGUUGUUAGUGGAGGCUAUGAUGAGGCUUUGCUGGGGAUGGGGACGCCAGGUGGGCCAAUCCUCAGGUCCCAGUGGUGGUGGCAGUGGACUGAGUGUGUUGGCUCUUGGGCCCCUGGACAUCAUACAAACAAACCAGUGGUAGCAGGUCCAGGCAGGUUAAUCCUUGGGCCUCCAGACAGCUUGCUCAGAUGCUGGCACUGGCAGUAGUGAGCCAGGUAGGUGGACAGAUCCUCAGGCCUCUGGAUGGAGUAUGUCAUAUCAGUGAUGGCAGUAGCAGUGGUGAGCUAACCUUUGGUCUCCCAGGUGACAUGCAUGGGCACCAGUGGUAAUAACAGCAAGCUGUACAGCCUGGUACCCAGGCCCCCAUGCAGGGUGUGUGCAUAUGGGUGGGUGCUGGCUGCGUUGGUUGUAGCAUGCUGGGCAAGCCCAUCAUGGAAAUUUGUCCCUGGAAGCAAGCAAGUCCCUGGAAGGCAUGCAUGAGUGUUAGCAGUGGUGGCUGAUGUUGGUCAUUCCCUAGGUCCCUGGAAGAUGAAUGUGGGUACUAGCAGAGGGGGAAGAAGCAGGGCAGAGCUGUCAUCAGGCUCUUUUUUUAUUUGUUUGUUUUUGAGAUGGAGUCUCACUCUGUCACACAGGCUGAAGUGUGGUGGUGCAAUCUCAGCUCACUGCAACCUCUGCCUCCUGGGUUCAAGCUAUACUAUUGCCUCAGCCUCCCAAGGAGCUGGGAUUACAGGCACCCACUACCACGCCCAACUUUUGUAUUUUUAGUAGAGAUGUGGUUUCGCCAUGUUGGCCAGGGUGGCCUCGAACUCCUGACCUCAGGUGAUCCACCCACUUCGGCCUUCCAAAAUGCUGGGAUUACAGGUGUGAGCCAUCGUGCCUGGCCUCAUCAGGCUCCUUGAUGGUUCACGGGUGCAGGCCUCAACAGACAGCACGGGUCAAUACUCAGGCCCCUGGUAAUGUAUGCAGGCAACAUCACACAGGGAAGUCCCAUAACUGGUGUGUUAUAACUAGUAGCAGCAGGCAGGGAGAGUAAAUUCCCAGGCUACUAGAUGACAUGUACAAAGACUGGUAGGGGCAGUGCCAAGUGGGGUGUGUGUUUCCUCAGACUCCUGUACGGUGCAAUUGACCACUGGUGAUGAAUGGGUUUGCCUGCACGGGUCCACAAUGACAACCAGAACAGGUCAGUCACCAGACUCUCAGACAUUAUGCACAGUCCCUGGAGAGAGGGGUAGUGGGUGGGGCAGGCCUGUCCUCAGGCCCCUGAUGGUGCACAUGAACACAGGCUGUGGUGGGUAGAGUGGGUGGAUCCCCUACCCCCUGGACUACAUAUGCAGGCACUUCUGGAGGUGGUGAUAGUCCACCUGAUGGUGUGUGUGAGCACCAACUGUAGCAAGUGGGUGGAUUGAUCCCCAGACCCCUAGGUGGCAUGGUGGCAGUAAUGGCAGUGGGCAUGGAAGACAUGUCUUUAGGCCUAGAAGGGCACCUGGGUGGACUAGUCCCCAGGCCUUAGGAGGGUUGCCGUCAGUGCCAGUGGCCCCAGGAAGGUAGCUCUCAGGCUCUGAAGACAAUAUGCUUCAGUUCCCUUUGUCCCAGGGACAGGCUCCCCAGUUCACUUCAUUAACCAUUUCCUGGGAUGUAGGACACUACAUAGAUUGCAGUGCUGGGGACCUGGCAGCACUGCUAGGUCCAGCUGUUGUCAUAAUGUUGCAGCCUUCUAGGUGGACAUAAGGGGAUGUUAGUGAGUCUCCAGGGAUUUGGAGAUGCAGAGGCUGUUAGGCCCAAGGGCAGGAUGUAGUCCGGUGGCGGCUGUGCUCUCAAAAUAUCACAAUGCUGCAGCUGUUUUUGGUCUCAGUUGGUGUUUGGAACCUAGUGCAGACUCCCUCUCUGGACCAAUAUCAUCAUGUGAACUCUGUACAGCUCCCAGUACUAGUCUCAGGGCCCAUGAGAGCCAAGGGGCUCUCCCAUGGCUAGGAUUGCAGCACAGUAGGAAUGUGGAACACUGGUGACUUCUCACUUACAUUCUUCCCACACUAGGUAGUUUCUCCUGUCUCUGACCAAUUCCAGCUGGGCUGGUUGCUUUGCUUCUGCCCCCUUCUGUGCCUUAGAGGUACUUUGCCACUUCCCUGCUGAAUUAUUGUGUUCUCUCUUAGAUAAUCUAUUCGGUGUAUGAUUAUCUAUUUGCUGUUUUGCUCCUUUUUUCGGGAGGAGGCAAGUGCCAGGUGCCUCUAAUCAGCCAUCUUGAAGCCCCCUCCUACUGUCACAGUUUGAGACAUUCUAAAUUUGCAACAAAUUGAAUAAAACUUUUUUUUACUUUUUAGAAAAAUAUUUGAUACCCUUUAAAUUAUAGUAUUAGCACAUUUGACAUAUAAUUCAGUUUCCUAAACAAUGGAUCAUAGUCAAUAUUAUAAAAUAUUCCAAAAUAUCAAAGCAUCAAAGCACCUCAAAAAAAAAUCUGAGGUGUAAUAGGCAUCCAAAUUUUGCUUGUGUCACCUUCAUUCCUUCUUGCAUGUAGCAUUAGAAAACUACACAUUUUUAACAGCAAUUCUUGAAUUUUGGUCUCUGAUAUUGUUUGGUUCUGUGUCCCCACUCAAAUCUCAUUUGUGGCUCCCAUAAUUCCCAUGUGUUGUUGGAGGGACCUGGUGGGAGAUGAUUGAAUCAUGGCGUUGUGUCUUCCCUGUGUUGUUCUCGUGAUAGUGAAUGGGUCUCAGGAGAUCUGGUGGUUUUAAAAACGGAAGUUUCCCUGGACAAACUCUCUCUUUGCCUGCUGCCAUCCACGUAAGAUGUGACUGGCUUUUCCUUGCUUUCCAUCAUGAUUGCGAGGCCUCCCCAGCCAUGUGGAACAGUAAGUCCAAUAAACUCUUUAUUUUGUAAAUUGCCCAGUCUCGGGUAUGUUUUUAUCAGCAGCAUGAAAUGGACUAAUACAGUCUUAUUUUCCAUAUGUAUAAUUGCUUCUCCUAUUAUAUUCAAAAUUCUCAAAGUUUUCAAUCAAAAUUAAGACCCCUGCUUAGGAAAAAAACCAUUGUGUAUUAAUAGCUCUUAUAAAAGCAGGAGAAGUUUUAAAACAUUGAUUUAUAUCUAAAAGAAAAAACAAAAUUUGAUAAAUUUUUAUCUUCCCUGUUGUGUUUUUUUCUGUCAAAAAGUCUAUCGAAAUGGUACCCUUAUUGAAAGAACAUUACUGUUUGUGACUAUGCAAGCACUUUGGAGAUUAUUAAGAAUUAUCCAUCUACUUUGAAUGUGAAAAUAUCCUGAAUUUGCUAUAAUCAAGCACUGUGGGAACUAAAUAUGGUGCAAGUCACAGAAAACACUAAAGACAAAAUUAUGGCAUAUUAACCAUUUUUCUUAAGAGGGUCAAAUAUGUAGUAACAAGGUUCCUUUUUUUCCCCAAAGAUAAAAUAGUAGAGUAGAUGAAAAGAAAAUAAUAACCCUAAUAGGUUUUAGUAAUGUGAAUCUUUGCCAAAAGAACAAAGACAAGAUUGGACAAUAAAGGGCUGAAUUGAAAUCAGUCCCCAAAUUUUUGUAAGUGGCAUGGUUCCAUUCUCAUGGCCAUUCAGACAACCCUCAUAUUUUUGUACCUCAGAAAAAAAAUAUGUGUUUUUAAAUGAGGAGUCCUCAUUUUCUAUUAAAUUGUGUAAGUUCUCUCAGAAUAACAGUGCUUAAUGCACAUAUUACUGCACUAUCAAUUAUUUAGCCUUUAAAACUUACUGUAACUGUUUAAAUGUAUCUUACUUUACAGCAUAAGAAACUGUAUGAGAAAAGUGAGUUAUUACACAAACUAACAUAGCAAUGAGUGAGUUUCAGGCCCAAAGAAAUCUGCAAACCUCUUAGCCAGAUGUGCGUAGUGAGUAAAUCGUAUUAUAUUUUCAUCAAAGGACUGGGAAAUUUUUAACAGUGAACAGAACGUUGGCUGUUUAUACUGCUCAUUAGGAAACAAUGGCUAAUGCCCCAGCCAGAAGAAUAUCCAGUUGAUCAAUAUGACUUAGUAUAAUGUGGGAAUAAAGUGUCAAACCAUGCAUGUCAUUUUAGCUAGAGGGAUAUUCCACAAUCUAAUGAAACAAGGCUAUAAACAUCAAACUAGGACUUAGAAACAUUUCUAUUAUAAAAUAAUUAAAAAUUUAAAUUAAAUGUAUGUUAUAAAAACUCAAGGACACAAGAAAAUGAUUACAGAAUGUAGCUUUCUUUUAACUUAUUUCUAUUUUAACAUUUUACAAACUUACAAAUAGGCAAAGCUUACUGAGAUUAUUUAGAUCACGUAACAAGAGACCCUUAAAGAGUGUUCAUUAUUUAUUUCCAAAUAAAAGGCUACAGUAGUAAUCUACAGGUGAAUGAAGUUAGAUUAAUAUUUAAAUGUUUUCUUAACAUAUCCCAUAGCCUUAUUCCAAUAUUGCCCUUGGUGAAUAUGCUUUGCACAUGAUUAACUGCCUGAAAAGUAAAAGAAGGACAAAAAAUACAAAGAAAUCCCUUGCCAAAACACACUGUUGUAUUGAUCUCUAUGACUCCUCUUAUGCCUAUCUUUGAAUAAGCAUUACUAUAAUCAGUAUCACAUACAAUUUUGUGUUUAGUUUUCAUUUUCUGAUUAUAGACUUCCUCUUUUACUAUUUACUUAUAGAUAUUUAACACUUUAAACAUAAUAUACUAUUUUAACAAUAUACCAAGAAUUAUUAAUGGUCCAGGAAGUUUUUCUUCAAUCUUUUUUAUCUCUCUUAUGACACAUAAACAUAUUGCUAUUUUUAAAAACAUUUUACUUCCUUCAUAGCUCUCUCAGAUAUGCCUUGUUCUAUUCAUCCAAAUCCCCAUAGCCCCCACUGCCUCUAAUUGGGGCUUACCACUAUCUCUCACCUAGACUAUUACAAGAGUUCUUUAUUUGAAUUUUUUUAAUAUCCAAUUUAGGUCAGCCUCUCAAGUCUAUCCCUUGCACAGCUACUAGAGGGAAGUGCCUAUUUCAUAACAUCUAAAAUGCCAUAGAUUACAAAUCACCCCAUUAAUUAUGAAGCACCAAUAACAUGAAAUACAAGCUGCCAACUAAACUACCAUACAAUCUAUUCUAAUCAUCUAGAAUGUUUAUUUAUACUUACUGAGAUAUUUUAACUUAGUUAAUACGUUACACAUAUUUUAUCAUAGUUCACUCUUGCGUAUAAAAAUUCAUUAAAAACAAUUGCUUACAUACUUUCUAUAUCAUCUUCAUAUUUACAGUACAACUCUUCUGAGUCCUUUUUUA